UUCAGGUGGGGAUAACGUAGCGAAAGUUACGCUAAUACCGCAUAUUCUGUGAGCAGGAAAGCAGGGGAUCGCAAGACCUUGCGCUGAUUGAGCGGCCGAUAUCAGAUUAGCUAGUUGGUGAGGUAAAGGCUCACCAAGGCGACGAUCUGUAGCGGGUCUGAGAGGAUGAUCCGCCACACUGGAACUGAGACACGGUCCAGACUCCUACGGGAGGCAGCAGUGGGGAAUUUUGGACAAUGGGGGCAACCCUGAUCCAGCCAUGCCGCGUGAGUGAAGAAGGCCUUCGGGUUGUAAAGCUCUUUCGGCCGGGAAGAAAUCGCAUGGGCUAAUACCCUGUGCGGAUGACGGUACCGGCAUAAGAAGCACCGGCUAACUACGUG
Molecule: ribosomal RNA, 380 nt
Filed under: uncultured bacterium
Lineage: Bacteria
Description: bacterial SSU rRNA
Rfam family: Bacterial small subunit ribosomal RNA
Source: RNAcentral